GCCCUAUUUAAUUUAACCUAGGAAUUAAAUAUUUACUUGAGAAAAAAAAAUUAUUGAGCUUAUCCAAUACUCUAAUGAAAUCAUUUGGUAGAUUGUAACACCAUUCUUUUCUCCACGUUUAUGUAAUUAUUCAUUUAGUGGAUGGUAAUAAAAGUUGUAGCACCAUUCUUUUCUCAAAAUUUAUGUAGUUCAAGUAUUCUACAGUUCUUUUCUCAGAGUUAUAUAGUCCAAGUGUUCUACAGACUCCAUUCAAACCCAUGGAAUUCAUCAAAUACGAAGUCCAUAGUUUAGGAUCAGCAACUCCCAAUUGUGGCAAUCAUGAAAGGUUGUGGACAGAAUUUGGAAGGUAAGCUUAUUGUUUAUGAGUGUAUUAUUCCUAAACAUUAGAGUUCUGGGUAAAUAUGUUUCCUGUAAGAAUUUUAUGGUGACUCAACAAUGCUACAUUGCAACCACACGAAAAUGAAGCGAUUUAGCAUUACAUUAAGGCCAUGUUUAUCGCAUAAAAUUAGUGGUAUCCUCAAUGCAAUGAUGCAACAAAAUGCCCAUUCUGGGCAUUUGCGGAGACCGGUAAGAUUUCUAUGACAACUUGACAAUUGUACAUGACAAGCACACCAACAAUGAAGAGAUUUAGCAUUCCAAAGAGGACAUGUUUCUUGGAUUGCAUUCAUCCUCCUGGGAAAAUUCAUGCAUUAGAUUCUUACAUUUUUCUUGCUUUUCCCAUUCUGAAUUGAUCCCUGACAGGGCUGCGCCUAUUUCUUCCUGCUGCUCUUGCCAGCGGCCUUGGCCUCCGCCUCGGCAUCCGGCUUGUCCGCCUCCACAAAUGCCCGGUUGAGCGAGUGCCAAAACUCCACCGCUCCAUCGUCCCAAGGCUUCACUCCAUAGAUGAGACAGUCAUGGUAGAAAUUGGGCUUCCCUCCAGACGCGCCCAUAUGGGGCUUGGAAUUGGGAGACGAUUGCCAGACAUAAAGCCCUUGCCAAGAAAGCACAUUCGUUCUAGCCACGGCAUAUUCUGUUUGCCUGCUAGAAUAUGCUUUGACAGAGAGAGACUAUUCC
RNAcentral lists this long non-coding RNA (1053 nucleotides) under Selaginella moellendorffii. Its description in RNAcentral is "long non-coding RNA (SMOE_LNC001849)". The record is from RNAcentral. Lineage: Eukaryota; Viridiplantae; Streptophyta; Lycopodiopsida; Selaginellales; Selaginellaceae.